AUGAAAGAAGUCCAAGUGACCAUUUCCCAUCUUUUAUAUAAUUUACAGGAACAGCCCUUUUGUGAGACAACACUGAAACAUUUCCAAAAGAGAGACAAGGUGGGGGUGUUUGCCCAAUGCCGAGUUUCUGGAAAGAGUCAUUUCCACACAGUGCGCACACACGAAAGGCGCUGAAAAUGCUCAGAGGUGAAUGCAGUGCUGCAGAGUGGCGAGUAGCAUGCUAGGUUUGGAACCAAAGGCUUUGCAUUGGAACUCCAGGCUUUUGGCUUAAACAUGUAUGCUGCCUGGGACCAGGUAAGUAGACUAUUUGAGCCUGUUUCCUUACCAAUGAAAUUAGGUUGGUACUUAACCAUGUUUGCUGUGAUAAUUCAAUAGACACGAAAGGUUUACUAUUGAGUCAAGCAUAUUAGGUACUUAGUAAAACUUAUGAAUAUCUAGAUCUAUUCUAGGAAA
Molecule: long non-coding RNA, 453 nt
Filed under: Canis lupus familiaris (dog)
Lineage: Eukaryota; Metazoa; Chordata; Mammalia; Carnivora; Canidae
Description: lncRNA (ENSCAFG00040017244.1)
Source: RNAcentral